UGGGUGAUCUGCCCUGCACUUUGGGAUAAGCCUGGGAAACUGGGUCUAAUACCGAAUACACCUCAUGGACUGCAUGGUUUGUGGGGGAAAGCUUUUGCGGUGUGGGAUGGGCCCGCGGCCUAUCAGCUAGUUGGUGUGGGUAAUGGCCCACCAAGGCGACGACGGGUAGCCGGCCUGAGAGGGUGACCGGCCACACUGGGACUGAGACACGGCCCAGACUCCUACGGGAGGC
RNAcentral lists this ribosomal RNA (232 nucleotides) under uncultured bacterium. RNAcentral describes it as "partial 16S ribosomal RNA". It matches the Rfam family "Bacterial small subunit ribosomal RNA", at positions 118 to 349 of the family's 1533-position model. The record is from RNAcentral.